ACCUACGGUCAUAUCACCCUGCAAAUUCCAGGGAUUGUCUCACCUUGGAAGCUAAGCCAGGUUGGGCCUGGUUAGUACUUGGAUGGGAGACCAUCUGAGAAUACCAGGUGCUGUAGGCU
Molecule: ribosomal RNA, 119 nt
Filed under: Acanthisitta chloris (rifleman)
Lineage: Eukaryota; Metazoa; Chordata; Aves; Passeriformes; Acanthisittidae
Source: RNAcentral